RNAcentral lists this ribosomal RNA (497 nucleotides) under uncultured bacterium. Its description in RNAcentral is "partial 16S ribosomal RNA". It matches the Rfam family "Bacterial small subunit ribosomal RNA", at positions 28 to 507 of the family's 1533-position model. The record is from RNAcentral.
GACGAACGCUGGCGGCGUGCCUAAUACAUGCAAGUUGAGCGAUGAAGAUUGGUGCUUGCACCAAUUUGAAGAGCAGCGAACGGGUGAGUAACGCGUGGGGAAUCUGCCUUUGAGCGGGGGACAACAUUUGGAAACGAAUGCUAAUACCGCAUAACAACUUUAAACAUAAGUUUUAAGUUUGAAAGAUGCAAUUGCAUCACUCAAAGAUGAUCCCGCGUUGUAUUAGCUAGUUGGUGAGGUAAAGGCUCACCAAGGCGAUGAUACAUAGCCGACCUGAGAGGGUGAUCGGCCACAUUGGGACUGAGACACGGCCUAAACUCCUACGGGAGGCAGCAGUAGGGAAUCUUCGGCAAUAGACGAAAGUCUGACCGAGCAACGCCGCGUGAGUGAAGAAGGUUUUCGGAUCGUAAAACUCUGUUGGUAGAGAAGAACGUUGGUGAGAGUGGAAAGCUCAUCAAGUGACGGUAACUACCCAGAAAGGGACGGCUAACUACGUG